Molecule: long non-coding RNA, 1156 nt
Filed under: Vulpes vulpes (red fox)
Lineage: Eukaryota; Metazoa; Chordata; Mammalia; Carnivora; Canidae
Description: lncRNA (ENSVVUG00000030050.1)
Source: RNAcentral
AUGGAUAAAAUAUUAAAAAAAAAUCCUGAUAUCAGCCUCAGAAAUGUAGCAAAGUGUCCUAGGUGUCACCCAUGGUAUUCCCUGCUUGCAAGCAUUUGGAAGUUCCCUCUGUCUCCAGCCUGUGGCCGAGGCCUCCCUAGCUGGCUAAUACUGGCCCCUUUCCCCCACGCAGACCUGGGUAAUGCUGGCCCCUUCCCCNNNNCCCCGCAGACCCCUCCGCCGCGUUCCCGAGCGCUCCCUUCAGGUCACCACCAGGGGGCAGCUGUGUCCCAUCUCAAACGGUUCCCACGCCCGCCCAGCAGGGGCCGGUUCGCUGCAGAGUCUCAGACUUGCGCUGGUGGGCAGGGGGCUUCGGGAGGGGAGCAGAAAAGAGCCAGGAUCACAUCUUGUUCACUGCUGUUUCCCCACAGCUCAGCCCAGCUCCUGACUCGCUGAUAGAGAAUUUCAGAAGGCCCGUGGCGUGACUGAAGAAAAUGUGGUCAGGAUAUGUGAUCAUUCUUUUCUGUUCUCGGAACAUGUUGUUGGAAUAUAAUAUACAGGCUUACCUCAUUUUAUUGUGCUUCAAAGAUACUGCGUUUGUUUUUUUUACAAAUUGAAGGUUUGUGGUCAUCAUGUGUUGAGCAAGUCUACAGGCUCCAUCUUUCCAAAAGCAUUUGUUUACCUUGUGUCUCUGUGCUCCAUUUUGGUAAUUCUCACAAUAUUUCAAACUUUUUCAUUAAUUAAUUAAUUAGUUUUAAAAGUAGGCUCUGUGCCCAGCAUGGAGCCCAGUGUGGAGCCCAACGUGGGGCCCAAAUUCACAACCCUGAGAUCAAGACAGACCUGAGCCAAUAUGGAGCUGGACACUCAGUCGACUGAGCCACCAGGUGCUCCUAUAUAUUUUUUAAAGUUUUAUGUAUUUAAGUAAUCUCUACACCCCACGUGGGGUUCCAGCUCAUGAUCAAGAGUCACAUGCUCCGAGGCAGCCCGGAUGGCUCAGUGGUUUAGUGCCACCUUUGGUCCAGGGCAUGAUCCUGGAGACCUGGGAUUGAGUCCCACAUCAUGCUCCCUGCUUGGAGUCUGCUUCUCCCUCUGCCUGUGUCUCUGUCUGGGUCUCUCUCUCUCUCUCUGUGUGUGUCUUGUGAAUAAAUAAAUAAAAUCUUAAAAAAAAAAAAAAGAG